CCUACGGGAGGCUGCAGUGGGGAAUCUUGGACAAUGGGCGCAAGCCUGAUCCAGCCAUGCCGCGUGAGUGAUGAAGGCCUUAGGGUUGUAAAGCUCUUUUGUCGGGGACGAUAAUGACGGUACCCGAAGAAUAAGCUCCGGCUAACUUCGUGCCAGCAGCCGCGGUAAUACGAAGGGAGCUAGCGUUGUUCGGAAUCACUGGGCGUAAAGCGCACGUAGGCGGAUUUGUUAGUGAGGGGUGAAAUCCCGGGGCUCAACCUCGGAACUGCCUUUCAUACUGCAGAUCUCGAGUCCGAUAGAGGUGGGUGGAAUUCCUAGUGUAGAGGUGAAAUUCGUAGAUAUUAGGAAGAACACCGGUGGCGAAGGCGGCCCACUGGAUCGGUACUGACGCUGAGGUGCGAAAGCGUGGGGAGCAAACAGGAUUAGAUACCCCGGUAGUC
RNAcentral lists this ribosomal RNA (440 nucleotides) under Weissella confusa. Its description in RNAcentral is "bacterial SSU rRNA". It matches the Rfam family "Bacterial small subunit ribosomal RNA", at positions 338 to 795 of the family's 1533-position model. Lineage: Bacteria; Bacillati; Bacillota; Bacilli; Lactobacillales; Lactobacillaceae. The record is from RNAcentral.